Molecule: ribosomal RNA, 253 nt
Filed under: uncultured bacterium
Lineage: Bacteria
Description: partial 16S ribosomal RNA
Rfam family: Bacterial small subunit ribosomal RNA
Source: RNAcentral
UACGGGGGGGGCAAGCGUUGUUCGGAAUUACUGGGCGUAAAGGGCUCGUAGGCGGCCAACUAAGCCAGACGUGAAAUCCCUCGGCUUAACCGGGGAACUGCCUCUGAUACUGGAUGGCUUGAGAUUGGGAGAGGGAUGCGGAAUUCCAGGUGUAGCGGUGAAAUGCGUAGAUAUCUGGAGGAACACCGGUGGCGAAGGCGGCAUCCUGGACCAACACUGACGCUGAGGAGCGAAAGCCAGGGGAGCAAACGGG